This 433-nucleotide ribosomal RNA is filed under the name uncultured bacterium. RNAcentral describes it as "partial 16S ribosomal RNA". It matches the Rfam family "Bacterial small subunit ribosomal RNA", at positions 29 to 507 of the family's 1533-position model. The record is from RNAcentral.
AACGAACGCUGGCGGCAUGCCUAACACAUGCAAGUCGAACGAGACCUUCGGGUCUAGUGGCGCACGGGUGCGUAACGCGUGGGAACCUGCCCUUAGGUUCGGCAUAACUCCCCGAAAGGGGUGCUAAUACCGGCUAAUGUCUUCGGACCAAAGAUUUAUCGCCUUUGGUUGGGCCCGCGUUGGAUUAGCUAGUUGGUAGGGUAAAAGCCUACCAAGGCGACGAUCCGUAACUGGUCAGCGAGGCGGGUCAGCCACACUGGGACUGAGACACGGCCCAGACUCCUACGGGAUGCGGCAGUGGGUGAUAUUGGACAGUGGGCGGAAGCCUGAACCAGCUAUGCCGCGUGAGUGAUGAAGGCCUUAGGGUUGUAAAGCUCGUUUACCCGUGAUGAUAAUGACAGUACCGGGAGAAUAAGCUCCGGCUAACUCCGUG